GUUUCUACGCUGCUAUCGCGGGCGAGCUCCUCUAGAGCGUGUGUGCGAGCGUGUGUGUGUGAGCGUGUGUGUGUCUGCUCUGCUGUUGCUGCCCUCUGAUCCCUGCAUUAGUGUUAGUUAGGGGCUCGGAGACACACUUACACAGAGAGCAGCCAUAGUCAAGACACGGCAACAACAACAGCACAGAACCCUCCUCCUCCUGUGGUCCUAUACCCAACAAUACACUUUAAACCGCGAGGACAAGACAGGUAUACAGUCCCUGCCAUCACUCUCGCCUACAAUCUCAAUGGGAAAAAACAUGUUUUCUUCUUAUCCCUAAAACAAGGAGGAGAAUGUGACAAAAAGGGGGAAAAUGCCAAGGAGGAAGCAGGAGCAACCCAAACGCCUGCCUUCACAUGUGGACAGCGUCGAGGAGGGUGGGCCCGACGGGGGCUGCUGUCCCGUGGAGGACGACGGCGGCGUUGGCGGCGGUGGCUGGUACGGGAACGCCUCCGACACGCGCUCCGAGUCGUCGUACAGCGGUGACAUCCAUGACGACCAUGAGCUGUUCCUCCACGGGGGCUCCCCCCCCACCCCCUCCCCAGACCGACCUCCAGAACACCCCGACACCUCGACCGAGAGCUCCCUGGGGGGCUGCCCUACGCCUGUCCACAACCACCACCGGGCCUCCCUUGAACUCCUGAGCCUAGGGGUGGACGGAGGGGUGUUCUCUGCCCAAGAUACCCUUUCCUCCGUGGUAUCCUCGCUCUAUGGAGAGGCUGCCUCCGAGGCCCUGGGGAAACCCCUGAGUAGUAACCUGCGGCGCCUCCUAGAGGCUGGGUCGUUGAAGCUGGAUGGGGAACUUCUGGGGAGAGUGAGAGGAGGGGGAGGAGAGUCGCCCCCUAUAGGCUUAGCUCCAGCCCUGACCCUCUCCCCCUCCUCCCAUCAUGCUCAGCAGCUAAGUGCCCUCGCCCGAAAACUGGCGGCCAAUAACAACAACAACAACAGCGGAGGCUCCGCCUCAGCCUCGCCUGCCUCUGUUACCAUGUCGACUACUGCCAUCAAGCAGGAGCCCUGCGACCCCUUCGCCUCGGUGGCCGCCCCGAGCAACGGUGCUGGCUUCGUGUGGGUGGGAGUGGCAGGUGACGGGAAGUGGCCCCCGGCGGGUUGCUCCGCCUCCAGCGGCGGGUCCAGCCUAUCACCUGACUCGGCCAUCCAGAAGCUGAAAGCGGCAGCCAACGCGGUUUUACAGGACAAGAAUGCCACCGUAGUGGCCUCGUCUACUUCCUCUUCAUCAUCCUCCUGCUCUACCAUACCCACCCUGGGAGGAGGGAGCCGGGGAGGAACAGACGACUCGGUACGCUUCGAUGCCUUCACCUCCCCCUUCAGCCCUCAGUCGGCCAGUUCCACGCUAGCCGCCCUGUCCAAGAAGGUGAGCGAGCGCUCCCAGACCACCUCCACCCCCUCAUCAUCAGACCACCAACACCAACCCUCCACCGGCUCCUCCUUCCUCUCCCUGGUCUCUAUGACUUCCUCGGCUGCGCUCCUCAAGGAGGUGGCAGCCCGGGCGGCAGGGAACCUCCUUGCUGAUAAGAUGGAGGCCACAGCAGGAGGAGGGGCCAUCCAGGAGGACAUCAAGCCCCUGCUGGACAGGAACCAGAAGGCAGGGACCCCCACAGGGCCCCAGAGCGCCAUGGACCUGCUGCUGCCCUCCACCCCUAAGGGAAGGGCCAAACCCAGCAGCCAAGCAGGUUCCCCGGGGGAGGACGGAGGGAAGCCGUUCCAGUGUCCGGUGUGUGGCCUGGUCAUCAAGAGGAAGAGCUACUGGAAGAGACACAUGGUGAUCCACACCGGCCUGAAGAGUCACCAGUGUCCCCUGUGCCCCUUCCGCUGCGCCCGCAAAGACAAUCUCAAGUCCCACAUGAAGGUCCACCAGCAUCAAGACCGGGGCGAGACGUUCCAGUGCGAACUUUGCCCUUUCACCUCCUCGCGCCACUUCAGCCUCAAGCUCCACAUGCGCUGCCACCAGCACUUCCCCCGCUCUGGGUCCGCCUCCGACGGGGUCAAGGUCAAGGAAGAGGCCACCACGGACACGGAGGGCGAGGGGUCACUCCUGGGCGAUUUCAACCCCGGGGAAUCCCCCCUCCAGUCGGACGCAGGGAACCAGAGCUCCCCUGGAGUCUCCAACCACCACGUCUAUAUAAAAGAAGAGCCCCAGGAGAGGGAGCUGUCGGUGCUGUCGCCCUUCACCCUUUGCAGGGACAGGGAGCGGGAGCGGCCUGGUAGCAGUGGCAACUCCCUGGACCUCUCUAUGGGGGGAGUCGGCUUGGGGGUGGGGGUGCGGUCCAGUCCUGGUGGAGGUCCAACGGCAGCGUCCCUCUUCAGCCCGGACAUCACCACCAAGACAGCCACCGAUCUGCUCAUGAAGCUCUCAGCGGCCAACCAGAAGGAAGCCCUGAAGGCUCCACAGUCCUUCCAUCUGAAGCAGGAACCCCGGGCAGAGGAAGAUGAGGAAGAGGUGCGGAGAAGCCCCCGGAGCCAGCCCAGCUACUCCUCCUUCUACCAGGAGCAGGGCGUGGCGCUGGGGGCCACAGGGCCAGCAGAGGUCACAACAGACAGUGGGGACCACAGGGGGACCCUGAAGGGACGCGAGGGAAGCCCCAUGGGGAACAAGAACAGUCUCCUCAGCCAGGACAUCAACUUCAAGGUGGCGUCGGAGCUGCUGAUGAAGCUAUCAGAAAGCAACAAGGACGCGGCCCACUACCAGAAGGUGACGGUGAAGGCGGAGCCUAUGGAGGUGGACCCGGCCAGUGGCCCGGCCCCGCCCCCUACUCACCUGCUGGCCUUCAGCACUUUAGGGGUGUGUGAGAAGAGCGAGCCAAUGACCAGCCUCCCUGAAGCGUUGUCCCGCCCCCAGAAGCAAGACCUCUUCUCCCAGGACAUAUCAGUGAAAAUGGCCUCCGAGCUCCUCUUCCAACUCUCAGAAAAAGUCAGCAAAGCCAACGACCACAAAGACGGCAACAUGGUGGGCAUAAGCAGGUAAGACAGCAACAUGGUGGGCAUAAGCAGGUAAGACAGCAACAUGGUGGGCAUAAGCAGGUAAGACAGCAACAUGGUGGGCAUAAGCAGGUAAGACAGCAACAUGGUGGGCAUAAGCAGGUAAGACAGCAACAUGGUGGGCAUAAGCAGGUAAGACAGCAACAUGGUGGGCAUAAGCAGGUAAGACAGCAACAUGGUGGGCAUAAGCAGGUAAAACAGCAACAUGGUGGGCAUAAGCAGGUAAGACAGCAACAUGGUGGGCAUAAGCAGGUAAGACAGCAACAUGGUGGGCAUAAGCAGGUAAGACAGCAACAUGGUGGGCAUAAGCAGCCCCUUCAUGGACGAGCGUUUCAGACAAUCCCCCUUCAGCCAGCGCUCCAAGUCCUCCUCCCCCGCAGAGGCCAGCUCCUCUGCUAGGACAGCCCUCCACG
This is an RNA transcript of Oncorhynchus keta (chum salmon), 3449 nucleotides long. It is a transcript of the gene named zinc finger protein 827-like, with no coding region annotated. The record is from RefSeq and is a predicted model, not a curated record. The transcript is spliced from 9 exons. NCBI's taxonomy places the organism in Eukaryota, Metazoa, Chordata, Actinopteri, Salmoniformes, Salmonidae.